UAGUUGGUGGGGUAACGGCCCACCAAGCCUAAGAUCCGUACGGGCUGUGGGAGCAGGAGCCCGGAGAUGGACCCUGAGACAAGGGUCCAGGCCCUACGGGGCGCAGCAGGCGCGAAACCUCCGCAAUGCGGGAAACCGCGACGGGGUUAGCCGGAGUGCCCGUGCAUUGCACGGGCUGUCGGGGUGCCUAAACAGCACCCCAUAGCAAGGGCCGGGCAAGGCCGGUGGCAGCCGCCGCGGUAAGACCGGCGGCCCGAGUGGCGGCCACUCUUAUUGGGCCUAAAGCGUCCGUAGCCGGCCCAGUAAGUCCCCCGGGAAAUCUGGUCGCUUAACGAUCAGACUUCCGGGGGAUACUGCUGGGCUAGGGACCGGGAGAGGCCGAGGGUAUUCCCGGGGUAGGGGUGAAAUCCUGUAAUCCCGGGAGGACCACCUGUGGCGAAGGCGCUCGGCUGGAACGGGUCCGACGGUGAGGGACGAAGGCCUGGGGAGCGAACCGGAUUAGAUACCCGGGUAGUCCAGGCUGUAAACGAUGCGGGCUAGGUGUCACCGGAGCUACGAGCUCCGGUGGUGCCGGAGGGAAGCCGUUAAGCCCGCCGCCUGGGAAGUACGGCCGCAAGGCUGAAACUUAAAGGAAUUGACGG
RNAcentral lists this ribosomal RNA (641 nucleotides) under uncultured archaeon. RNAcentral's name for it is "bacterial SSU rRNA". It matches the Rfam family "Archaeal small subunit ribosomal RNA", at positions 230 to 871 of the family's 1478-position model. The record is from RNAcentral.